RNAcentral lists this unclassified non-coding RNA (226 nucleotides) under Hevea brasiliensis (rubber tree). Lineage: Eukaryota; Viridiplantae; Streptophyta; Magnoliopsida; Malpighiales; Euphorbiaceae. The record is from RNAcentral.
AAUUUUUGGAAUAAAGGCUUAGUUAAGUUGAUUUGAGUUGUAUCAAUUAAAAAAAUUAUAUUUUAUAAAUUUGUGUUGUUAAGGUAUCUAUUUAUGAAAAAAAGAUAAAAAUGUCUUUUUGCAUUCAACAUAUAAUUUUAGAUUUUAAUUGAAUUUAAAUAAUAUUAUCUUUUUAUACAAAUAUUGAAUAAGUUUAAUUACCUGAAAAAUAAAAAAUAAAAAAGAA